RNAcentral lists this ribosomal RNA (424 nucleotides) under uncultured bacterium. Its description in RNAcentral is "bacterial SSU rRNA". It matches the Rfam family "Bacterial small subunit ribosomal RNA", at positions 355 to 776 of the family's 1533-position model. The record is from RNAcentral.
UAAGGAAUAUUGGACAAUGGUCGAAAGACUGAUCCAGCCAUGCCGCGUGCAGGAUGAAGGCCCUCUGGGUCGUAAACUGCUUUUAUAUGGGAAAAAACGCUUGUUCGUGAACGAGCCUGAUGGUACCAUAUGAAUAAGCAUCGGCUAACUUCGUGCCAGCAGCCGCGGUAAUACGAAGGAUGCAAGCGUUAUCCGGAUUUAUUGGGUUUAAAGGGUGCGUAGGCGGGCUAAUAAGUCAGUGGUGAAAGCUCACGGCUCAACCGUGAAAUUGCCAUUGAUACUGUUAGUCUUGAGUAUGGUUGAAGUUGGCGGAAUGUGCAGUGUAGCGGUGAAAUGCUUAGAUAUUGCACAGAACACCGAUUGCGAAGGCAGCUAGCUAAGCCAUAACUGACGCUGAGGCACGAAAGCAUGGGGAUCAAACAGG